GACGAACGCUGGCGGCGUGCUUAACACAUGCAAGUCGAACGAAGAGCGAUGGAAGCUUGCUUCUAUCAAUCUUAGUGGCGAACGGGUGAGUAACGCGUAAUCAACCUGCCCUUCAGAGGGGGACAACAGUUGGAAACGACUGCUAAUACCGCAUACGAUCUAAUCUCGGCAUCGAGGAUAGAUGAAAGGUGGCCUCUAUGUAUAAGCUAUCACUGAAGGAGGGGAGUGCGGCUGAUUAGCUAGUUGGAGGGGUAACGGCCCACCAAGGCGAUGAUCAGUAGCCGGUCUGAGAGGAUGAACGGCCACAUUGGGACUGAGACACGGCCCAGACUCCUACGGGAGGCAGCAGUGGGGAAUCUUCCGCAAUGGACGAAAGUCUGACGGAGCAACGCCGCGUGAGUGAUGACGGCCUUCGGGUUGUAAAGCUCUGUUAAUCGGGACGAAAGGCCUUCUUGCGAAUAGUGAGAAGGAUUGACGGUACCGGAAUAGAAAGCCACGGCUAACUACGUG
RNAcentral lists this ribosomal RNA (510 nucleotides) under uncultured bacterium. RNAcentral describes it as "partial 16S ribosomal RNA". It matches the Rfam family "Bacterial small subunit ribosomal RNA", at positions 28 to 507 of the family's 1533-position model. The record is from RNAcentral.